CUACGGAGGGUGCAAGCGUUAUCCGGAAUCAUUGGGUUUAAAGGGUCCGUAGGCGGGCUAUUAAGUCAGAGGUGAAAUCCCACAGCUUAACUGUGGAACUGCCUUUGAUACUGGUAGUCUUGAGUUAUAUGGAAGUAGAUAGAAUGUGUAGUGUAGCGGUGAAAUGCAUAGAUAUUACACAGAAUACCGAUUGCGAAGGCAGUCCACUACGUAUAUACUGACGCUAAGGGACGAAAGCGUGGGGAGCGAACAGGAUUAGAAACCCUUGUAGUCC
This 274-nucleotide ribosomal RNA is filed under the name uncultured bacterium. Its description in RNAcentral is "partial 16S ribosomal RNA". It matches the Rfam family "Bacterial small subunit ribosomal RNA", at positions 523 to 796 of the family's 1533-position model. The record is from RNAcentral.